CUCUGCCUCAAAGAGCUUACGAUCAAAUAUGUCAGCUCUCAGUCUUUUUGGAGAAGUAGGAAAUAGGAAGAUAAAUCUGAGACUUAAAAAAACACAAAACAUUCAAGAACUUGAUGUCUUAAAAUUGUCCUACGAACAAAAGCUCUCUGAAAGCUCUGGCUUGGAAACUACUCUCAGAAUCCAGCUAACGCUCCAGGGAAGUGGCCUGAGUCAGGGAAGCUAAGUGGUAAAGAGCACAGGCUGGUAGUCCUGUGAUUGAAGCCAGAAUGACCAGCUGUGUAACCAAAGGCAAGGUGCUGAACCUUUCUCUGCCUCAAUUCUCUCAUCUGCAAAAUGGGAAAUAAUAAUGAUCCCAACCUCAGAGAACUGAACAAGAUAAUACAUGAAGGUGCAUAUCAAAGAGUCUCACAUGCUCUGCUGGAUCACACAAAAGUUGGGAAGAGAAGGAUGUCAAUUAGACUACAUCAAAAUCUGGGCAGAGGGAGGACAAAGAGCUGCCUAAAGAAACUGGUAGCUGGAGCAAACUGCAGAGAUCAAGAUGACCCUAGUCAACGGAACCAGCAGCCCAGAGCAGGGUGUAGGAAGUGUGCCCAGAAUAGCCAGAGAACUUAUUUCUAAGAGAAUUGAUCCUAAAGAAGAAAUUUCUAAAUUGUCAAAAAUGUAUACCAAGGAGGUUCACCAGUGUUGUUGAUAAUCAGA
RNAcentral lists this small RNA (699 nucleotides) under Pan troglodytes (chimpanzee). Its description in RNAcentral is "processed transcript". The record is from RNAcentral. Lineage: Eukaryota; Metazoa; Chordata; Mammalia; Primates; Hominidae.